This 301-nucleotide ribosomal RNA is filed under the name uncultured bacterium. RNAcentral's name for it is "partial 16S ribosomal RNA". It matches the Rfam family "Bacterial small subunit ribosomal RNA", at positions 512 to 808 of the family's 1533-position model. The record is from RNAcentral.
CAGCCGCCCGGUAAUACGAAGGGGGCUAGCGUUGCUCGGAAUUACUGGGCGUAAAGGGAGCGUAGGCGGACAUUUAAGUCAGGGGUGAAAUCCCAGAGCUCAACUCUGGAACUGCCUUUGAUACUGGGUGUCUUGAGUGUGAUAGAGGUAUGUGGAACUCCGAGUGUAGAGGUGAAAUUCGUAGAUAUUCGGAAGAACACCAGUGGCGAAGGCGACAUACUGGAUCAUUACUGACGCUGAGGCUCGAAAGCGUGGGGAGCAAACAGGAUUAGAUACCCCUGUAGUCCCUGUCUCUUAUACA